AGAGUUUGAUCCUGGCUCAGAACGAACGCUGGCGGCACGCUUAACACAUGCAAGUCGAACGGUGCGAGGAAGCUUGCUUUCUUGCACAGUGGCGCACGGGUGAGUAACACGUGGCUACCUGCCCAUUGAUGGUGGAUAACUCCGGGAAACUGGAGCUAAUACAGCAUAAUCUCGAGAGAGGAAAGGCCGAGAGGUCGUCAAUGGAGGGGGCUGCGUCUGAUUAGGUAGUUGGUGGGGUAAAGGCUCACCAAGCCAAUGAUCAGUAGCUGGUCUGAGAGGAUGGUCAGCCACACUGGAACUGAGAUACGGUCCAGACUCCUACGGGAGGCAGCAGUGGGGAAUAUUGGACAAUGGGGGGAACCCUGAUCCAGCGAUGCCGCGUGAGUGAUGAAGGCCUUAGGGUUGUAAAGCUCUUUUGACAGGGACGAUGAUGACGGUACCUGUAGAAUAAGCACCGGCUAACUCUGUGCCAGCAGCCGCGGUAAUACAGAGGGUGCAAGCGUUGUUCGGAAUUACUGGGCGUAAAGGGCGUGUAGGCGGUUUUGUAAGUCAGAUGUUAAAGACCUGGGCUUAACCUAGGGGGUGCGUUUGAUACUGUGAGACUAGAGUGCAGGAGAGGAGAGUGGAAUUUCCGGUGUAGAGGUGAAAUUCGUAGAUAUCGGAAGGAACACCAGUGGCGAAGGCGGCUCUCUGGACUGCAACUGACGCUGAGGCGCGAAAGUGUGGGGAGCAAACAGGAUUAGAUACCCUGGUAGUCCACGCCUUAAACGAUGGAAGCUAGGUGCUGGGAUUUAGGUUUCGGUGCCGCCGCUAACGCAUUAAGCUUCCCGCCUGGGGAGUACGGUCGCAAGAUUAAAACUCAAAGGAAUUGACGGGGACCCGCACAAGCGGUGGAGCAUGUGGUUUAAUUCGAAGCAACGCGAAAAACCUUACCCGCUUUUGACAUAGGGAUCGAGAGCUCAAGAGAUUGAGUUCGUCGGUUCGGCCGGAUCCUAUACAGGUGCUGCAUGGCUGUCGUCAGCUCGUGUCGUGAGAUGUUGGGUUAAGUCCCGCAACGAGCGCAACCCUUAUUCGUAGUUGCCAUCACGUAAUGGUGGGCACUUUACGAAAACCGCCGCUGAUAAAGUGGAGGAAGGUAGGGAUGACGUCAAGUCCUCAUGGCCCUUAUGGGCGGGGCUACACACGUGCUACAAUGGUGGUGACAAAGAGCUGCAAGUGGGCGACCACGAGCGAAUCUUAAAAAGCCAUCUCAGUUCAGAUUGCACUCUGCAACUCGAGUGCAUGAAGUUGGAAUCGCUAGUAAUCGCGAAUCAGCAUGUCGCGGUGAAUACGUUCUCGGGUCUUGUACACACCGCCCGUCACACCAUGGGAGUUGAUUUUACCUUAAGCCGGUGAGCUAACCAGCAAUGGAGGCAGCCGAUCACGGUGAGGUCGAUGACUGGGGUGAAGUCGUAACAAGGUAACCGUA
This 1468-nucleotide ribosomal RNA is filed under the name uncultured Alphaproteobacteria bacterium. RNAcentral describes it as "bacterial SSU rRNA". It matches the Rfam family "Bacterial small subunit ribosomal RNA". Lineage: Bacteria; Pseudomonadati; Pseudomonadota; Alphaproteobacteria. The record is from RNAcentral.